This is a long non-coding RNA of Leucoraja erinaceus (little skate), 2737 nucleotides long. RefSeq lists it as uncharacterized. Lineage: Eukaryota; Metazoa; Chordata; Chondrichthyes; Rajiformes; Rajidae. The transcript is spliced from 3 exons. The record is from RefSeq and is a predicted model, not a curated record.
CUGGCCAGAGCCGCGCCGCCUACCGGAUCCACAAAUUCCACAAAUUCACACCACAGAUUGCUAUGUACAUACUUUUAAGAGUUGUUCUGACAUUGAGUUUUUUUUAAUUUAGUUCCCCUCUCAAAUUAUACCCACCCUGUCUUUCCAUAAACAGUUUUUGUAUAUUUCUUGGAAGUAAAUUAUUUCUUGCUUUGUACAUGAUUUGCGUAGUCUUAAAUUUAACCAGAUCAGUGAACUUCAGUGUAUGUGACUUUAAGAAUAAUAAAUUGGUAUGUUCAAGAUAUCCAACGUUAUUGAUAAUUCUUAUUGCUCUUUUUUGUAAUGUGCAUAACGGCUGUAGGUUGGUUUUUGUAGGUGUUACCCCAAAUCUCCACACAGUAACUCAGAUAUGGCAAUAUGAGUAUUAUUCUGAGUUCUGACUGCAUUGUUGAUGGCAAAGAUCCUACAGCGGAGCUUGCGGUAGGAUCUAUAGUUGAUGGUGCCAAGUUGUAAUUUGACUGAAGAUCCUGUUCCGUGCUCAACCAGGCAGCUCAGUCAACACCAACAAUGUAUUCAGAGCUCCUGCACAGUUUUUAAUUUUUUGUAUUUUUAAAAUUAGCAUCAAAGUUUAUAUUUGAAACUUCUAAAAAAAAGAUUUGGCCUCUAGCUUCACAAUCUGGAAUCUCAACACUGAAAUAUUGCAGACAUUACUGCAAAAUACCAACAGUACCCAGUUUGAACAAGGGUCCCGACCCAAAACAUUCUAUGUUCGUUCCAUCCCUAGACCUGAUGAGUUCCUCCAGCACAUUGCCAUUGAGUCAUACAGCGUAGAAUCAGGCCCUUCGGCCCAACUCGUCCAUGCCCACCAACAUGCCCCAUCUACACUAGUCGGAUCUGCCUGCAUUUGGCCCAUAUCCCUCUAAACAUAUGUGUAGGGAGGAAAUGCAGUUGCUCUAAAUUUAUAGUAUCCAUAUACCUGUCUGAAUGUUUCUUAAAUGCUGUGAUAGUUCCUGCCUCAACUACCUCCUCCAACAGCUCAAUCCAUAUGUGCCUUUUUGCAAUACUGCACACAAAAAUGUGACAAAUGGGGUAAAAUUUCAAAUUCCUUCGAAAAAGUUGACAAGCACUUUAUUGGGUUCAUGACUAACAUAGUACCUGUAUCAACAAAUAUAAGAAAAGAUAGCAAGUUUCUUAAAAUGGCAUCAGAACACACAAAUACAUGUUGUGUAAUGGUUGUUGGCACGGUUACACAUAUUUGGUUGGCACAGUAAGUAUACGUAUUUCUUAUUCCUUUCUAUGUUUAUGAAUACCACAUGGAACAAUAAAAUUGCAAAUACCAUUCCCUCUUCAUUUACCUGAUCAUGUAGUAGAAUACUGCAUCCAUCUAUGUGGACACCACAAUACGCGUUACACAUCAUACACACAAAGAUGGCAUUGUGGACUGCAGGAGAUGAAAGGCACCAUAACCAUUGUGAGGAUAUCAUCCAUUAAACUACACGAUGUUCCGUUUGUGGAAACACUGGCUCAAAAGUGAGGUUUUGCGAAGGAACACUCUCCACUUGCCAGCGUGCAUGCAGCUCCAACAACAUCCAAGUAGGCCAACACCAUCUAGGACAAAGCAAACAGCGGGGGUAGCACUCUGUGUACUACCCUAAACAUUCAUUCUGUGCACGCCCAGCCAGCUCUACAAGGUUGAAGUACUCACCAUCUGCAAAACGCACAGCCGUUAUCACCCUGGCUACCCCAACAUUCAAUUCAAUUCAAUUCAACUUUAAUGUCAUCGCACAAAUACAAGUAUGAGUACAACGAAAUGCAGUUUUGCGUCAGUCCGUAGUAGUUGUGCAUAAAGAAAUAAAAAAAAUAGAAAGAGAGAAGAUACAGAAUAAUUAAAAAAUGCAGAAUAAUUAAACAAUGGGGACGGAGGGACCGGAGAAAUCUAUCGGCGGGACUCCGAGUUCAGCAAUGUGAUUGUAUUGUUGUAGAAGCAGUUCCUCAUCUCUGAACCCUCAACCUCCACCCCAAAGAAGGACAAGGAAGAUAGAAUAUAGUGACCUUUUGAUGGGACAAUAUUUAUUCUUCAGUAAAUGUUAUUAAAAUAGGCACCCGUUGGAGAUUGCAAUGUGCAAAUCAUUUGUCAAAUUUCUUAUUUUACAACAGUGACGACAUAACAAAUGUCAUUUUUUGUUAAUGUUAACUUCAGUGGCAAGGUUCAUAAGUGCAGCGUAUUCUGCAGAGGCAACCUAAAUUUCUCUGCUCAAGAUACCGGAGAAUUGCAAUCAUACCUUCUCUCAGAGAUAAGUAUUCUGCCAAUUAAACCACAUUUUCCAGUUAGAAUGGCACUAUAUCUUUCAAAAGUCUUAGAUUCGGCUUUUGAAAAAAAAAACCCCUAACCAAAAAAAAUAUAUAACCGGUGCUUCAUAUCUGAUUGUGUACUUUCCAUGAUGGAAAGUCUGAUAAAAACCUCUCCAUAAUCACACCGAGUUAUUUGCUUUAAAUUAUAAUUUCGGCUUCCCAAGCCAUUACCUCCGCAUGUUUAAUUAGUAAAUUUUGGAGUUCAUUUUAUACCACAAACAUUAAAAUUUCACACAGAUGCAACUGAAUUUCAAAAGGAAGAGGACUGUCUGAACGUUAUUGCCUUCCAUCACAGCGAUCAUUGUGGUGGUUGUUUAUGUUAAGUUCUCUCGUGCUUUUAAUUGUGUUUAAUUGUAUGGCUGCACGCAAACCCAAAUAGCUCUGUGCCUUAUUGUGACAAUAAAUG